Molecule: RNA transcript, 3001 nt
Organism: Brachypodium distachyon (stiff brome)
Lineage: Eukaryota; Viridiplantae; Streptophyta; Magnoliopsida; Poales; Poaceae
Gene name: very-long-chain 3-oxoacyl-CoA reductase-like protein At1g24470
Exons: 3
Source: RefSeq, a predicted model, not a curated record
AUGCAUGCAUGGCCCGUUGGCCGGGCAUGCAUUCAAUCCAGCCAUCACUCUUCCUACCUAAGUUUGCUUUUAUAGUCUUCACUUGGUGAUCGAUCUGCCAUAAUGUGCCCUUUCUAAGUGCGCUAGCUUAAUUGGCUGUCGCAGCUACUAGCUCGCAAGUUACUCCUCCAUACAGCACAACACCGCUUGCUGCCACGCUAGCUCUAGCUGAAUUGCCCAUGCAUGCGACGAUGUCUGAGGUAGAAGAGAUAGUCUCGACGGCCGGAGGAGGAGGCUCGUCGUCACCGGCGCCGGUAUGGUGGUUCGCGCUCCUCCUGGCCCUGGGUCUCCGCACCGCCGUGGCCAGCGCGGCGACCUUCAUCUCGUGGCUCUACCGCACGCGUUUCCGGCCCGGGCGCGACCUGGGCGCGCGCUACGGCUCCUGGGCCGUGAUCACAGGCGCCACGGACGGCAUCGGGCGGGCCCUGGCCCUGGAGCUGGCCCGAGAGGGGCUCCACCUGGUGCUCGUGGGCCGGAGCCCCGCCAAGCUGGCCCGCGUCGGCGACGAGGCCCGCCGGGAUACCUCCAUCAAGGUGAAGACGGUCGUGUUCGACCUGGCCGGGGACGGGGCCGAGAUGGGCCGGGGCGCGGCGAGCGUGGCGGAGGCCGUGGACGGGCUGGACGUGGGCCUGCUGGUGAACAACGCGGGCGCCACGUACCCCUGCGCGGCCUUCUUCCACGAGGUGGAGACGGAGACGUGGGAACGCGUGGUCAAGGUGAACGUGGAGGCCGCCACCCGGAUCUCCCGCGCCGUCGUGCCCGGGAUGGUCGCCAGGCGGAGGGGCGCCGUCGUUAAUGUCGGAUCCGGCUCGGCGCUCGUCGUGCCGGCUUUCCCGCUCUACGCCGUCUACGCCGCCAGCAAAGCAGUCCACAUGCAGCCAGAACGGCGCCGCAGCCUGGGAGGCCUCAGGCCAGGGAGAUACAACAGAGACACUGCGGUGUUGCUGUUCUAUUCUCAUAUUCUGAACAACCCAUCAUACGGAGUAGUGAAUAAUUUCGUCACACGAUUUCUUUUCCCUCCUAUUCUGAUCAACCCAGAUCUGUUCUGCGGAUCUGCUACUCCGUAUUUCUUUUUUUUCGAAAACCCGGCAGGCGGAGCUGCCGUUUUCAUCGAAGGAAGAAGCAGUUCGUACUCGUACAGGCGCUCGAGUAGAGCAAAUACAGACAAACAAAAGAAAGAGAGAAAAGGAAGCAAAAGAAAACAGCUAAAGACUAGCCUAGCCGGACUUCUCGUCACACGAAUAAUCGUUACGUAGAUUUGCAAUAACCAAUUAUGUGCAACUUUGCUUUUUCUAGUACCGGUUUAAUUUGCCCAUCUCGGAUUUUCUGUCUUUCUGCUGAUUUCGAUGUAUGGGUCUUGAACAAACUUUAUUUAUCUCGUCUCCUAGUUUUGCUCAGUUAGCAUUUGAUCGCGUUUACAUAUAGUCCAUGCUCUAGAGCUCCCUCGUAUCAUCUCACUCUGUGAUCUCUCUGUACGUAUAGUGUUGUUUAUUUAGUUCUCGACCGAUCCGAUCGCCUGGUGGCGUCUCCGCCGUGUUUACGCUAUGUAUUAUUACGAGACGUACGUACAAAAAGAUGCCUACCUACGUGCAAACUACAGUAUUUUAUAUGGGGUGUCUAUUUCUUAGUCGAUUUAGAAAUAGUUAUUUUUCAGUCAACAGAUUAAGAUUUUCUCAUUAUUUGUAUUUACAUGAAUUUUACACGAAUCUCAACGAUCGGAAUCGGAUCACGGUUGUUGCAUCGACUUAGAAAUAGUCAUUUCUCAAUCUCCUUAGAAAUAACAAAACCUCCGUUGGAUCGAUGUAUAGAAAACGAUAAGCAAAUUUUGUUGUUUCUUAUCUCCAGUUGAUACGUAUAUCUUGAUUCUUAACUUAAUUUUUUUAUCUUCAUAAAUCUAGCUAUUGUGGUCUUACAAAUUCUAAAUCUAAAGCUUUCGUACUUCAUAGAUGAUUACGCAAUAACUAGGUUUAGGUCAUCCUCCGAUUUAAACAUGUACUCUCUCCGAUUUCUAAUACGUGUCUUGAAUUUAAUAGUACAAAAUACAAAGUUAACUUUAUACUAGAUCCAAGACACUUGUUAUAGAUCGAUCGGAGUGAGUAACUACAAAAGAGAUAGAAAGAUCUUAAUCAAACAUUUAUCAACUGAAAAAUAGUCAUUUAAAAAUCGACGCAACUGGCACUCUCUAAAUUCUAGCCUUAUAUACCAACGGGCACUCUAUUUCCUUGAACUUUUUUACAUUUUUGUUUUGGGGCCACCUAUUACUUCUCCUUUAUUUGCGGGGAGGGGCCACCUAUUUCUUCAUUCAUUUACGAUCUACGGACAAUCUUUAUUAGCUAGGGACAGGGUUAGAAUGGCUUUGCAAGAACCAUGCUGUCCAGCAGAGAGGAGAACACUAGAACCAGGCAUCCUUUUUACAGCAUAAAAUCGAGUAAAAGCUGCUUGGACAGUACUGCAUCCAUUAUUCCUGCACACUUAUGUUUGGUGUAACUGCCCUCUGUCCAAACCAGAUGGCAUAUUAAUGCUCACUUAAUAUGGCCUUGGAUGGAAUCACGGAAAGGCAGGAGUAGAUGCUUCUCUUCCAAUAAAUGGUGUGCCUCCUGAUCAUUACUGAAUACAGCAACGGGAUGGGAUGGCUCGUUAGCAACAAAUCAUAUAUACAGCAGAAAGCAUAUGUGAAACAUACUCCAAUUUUGUCAUGUCAGUUAUGCAUUCAGGUGUAUACGCUGACAUGCAUGAAAACGGCUAAAAUUGUGCGAAACCGUGGAAAUGCUUACCAGUAUUUAUGAUCUCCAAACGUGAACCCUUUGUUUAGGUACAUCGACCAGUUGUCUCGAAGCCUGAGCGUUGAGUACAAACACUACGGAGUGGACGUCCAAUGCCAGAUCCCUCUGUACGUGGCGACGAAGAUGUCCCCCGUGAAGGGCGAGUCGCCGUUCAUCCCGUCGCCGGAGGAGUACGCGAG